Ictalurus punctatus (channel catfish) is the source of this 5012-nucleotide long non-coding RNA. The record is from Ensembl. NCBI's taxonomy places the organism in Eukaryota, Metazoa, Chordata, Actinopteri, Siluriformes, Ictaluridae.
ACAGGGUUGUGCAAUAUUGACACAGCAAACAAAAUGGUAAGAAUACGACCCUGACAAUACUCGUGCCACACAAAGCAUCUCUGAUGACAAAAUAUAUUGUGUAUAUUUGUCAAAUAGGAAGCGACCCAGCUACAAAGGACCCAGCAGAAUUCCUCUGUUCUCUCCCCUCUCCACUCUUCCACCUCAACACUCGUCUUCACUGUCACUUCAGCCUUGUGCAGGCAGGACUCUGGACGAGAGUAUGCUUAGUACACAGUUACACACAUAGCAACCCCUCCUCCUGUGUGUGUUCGACCAAUAUUGACUCAGUCUCUAGCCUAACACUGCCACUAUUGAGUUUGGCCAUUCAAAAUGCUGUUUGGGGAACAUUAGAGUUACAGUAAAAUAACAGCCGUGCACAACCCUCCCCUUCACUUCGCUGCUGGGAACGCAGAUCAGGAAGUGAGGUCAUAUGUAGCAGGUGUGUGGUAAGUUGCGACACUGCGGAGAGCCUUCUGAACAGUACUACUUAAAUAUUAACACAUUUCCACGUUACUCCAACAUCGACUAGUUUAGGCUAGGAAUAGGAUCUACUAUUUGACCAAGGUGACAUCGGGUUAUUUCUCUAUCAGGAGCAAUGGAAAGGUGAAUAACCUUGGCAGUGUCUGUGUUUCUCACUGACCUGAUAACAACUUUAUAGCCUUUAAACAAGCGCUGCUUCAGUAUUGGCUAUUACUACAGCACUCGUUUACUCAAACAACAUAAUCAGUGUUUUAUCACCUGCUAUGGAGAAACUGAAUGGAAAAUAUGCGCUUCCUGGGAUGAUCCUUAUUGUCCAUAAAGCAAGACUGUGCCAUCUAUGUGUAAUAAAACAAAGGUGGGAGGGAAGCAGAGAGAUUAUACCAUAGACAGUUGAUUAAUUAACUAUGAUGGGGAGUAGUGCCACCUUCUGGACAGAGAAUUUCUGCCUGAUUUAUUAUUAUCUAUUUGCCUUAACAAGUUUCUGUGUUAUAUUCGACAAACAUGUACACCAUUUUGCUAUUUUUUUUUUUCUCUCUCACCUUAUUAACUAUUAGAAACUAUUUACCAGAUUAACUGAUGUGCGCUCAGAUCGUAUGACCAUUUGUGUUAUGAGUGAUUCCAUGAAUGGGAUGCCAUUUAACCCUUUGAAUCAUUUUUCAACGCUGAAUCUAAGAGAACAAGCAAUUAACCAGAGUUGAACGCAUCUCAGCCUUUUUUUUUUUUUUUUUUUUUUUUUUUUUUUUUUUUUACAAGGUUCCUGUGCUGACAGGCAACAUUUUGCUUUUAAAUAUGUAAAACGGUUGAGGUUUUUAGCACAGAAUUAGGAAAUACACAAAAUGGGGUGAACUAGUACCCAUGCUAAUGACUUGCAGACAUUAACGACUUUACAAAAAAUAUAAUUUUUAAAAAUGAAUAAUUUACUUUCAGUCAAUGAUUUGGGUAACAGGGUUGUCAAUAUCAUAAUAGGAAAAUAAAGAGGGGAAAAAAAUAAGAGAACUUACUUUUCUUCUUCCUAUGAUCAUCAGGAGGUUUGGAUGAUGAACUUGUGGAAUAUCCGACAUGUUCAUAGGGGUAACGAAAAUGCACAUUUUUCAUAACAUGGUGUUUCGGUAAACAUACGUGGGUAGCAGUGGGCAAACAGACGUGUUGGAGGAGCCUCGGCGUCCUGAUGUUAGUUGUGCAAACCCGGCGCUGUGCAAACAGCUUCAAAGAACGUGGUCACCUCCUCCUGGCUCUUUGAUGUAGGUAUUGAUUGAGGUGAGACGGCUGUGGGGAAGGGAAAGAGAGAAGGAGAGGGGAAGCUACAGUUUGCCAGGACACAGACCAGCCGGAAAUCAGGUCGGUCCCUCGGGAAACGUCAGCGAGUUCCUCUAUCCAUGAUUAAACAGACUCAUGUCCCUUCUGCCAAGUGUCACACACACACACACACACACACACACACACACACACACAGUGACACAUAUCAAAUGUCCCUCUAACAGAUGCACUUCAUCAGUAUCGGUCCAUAUUCUUAAGGCUGGUUUAACUCUGACAUUUUGCUACCUUUUUAAAAGUGCAUCUCUUGGGCUUAUUAUUCAGUUAUUUAUGUUAGAAUAUAUUCUUCAGUACAUUCUCAGAGUUAUUCCCACACUAAUUAAAAAAAAAGAACAUAUCUUUAUUGGUGUUAUACAUUUAACACAUUGCAUACUGUACAUGCAACUGAACCUUUCCCCAAAACAUGGCAGUGUAUGAAAUAAAAACAAAUGUACUGGGAAAAAAAAAGUAUACUCACAAACAUCUGGCAGAGUAUGGCACAUAUUUUCACCAUACAGUAGAUUAGUCAAUUACACCUUAACUUCACACUUGCAAAGCCUCUUCAAUGUCACCAUUUUUGACAAAUUCCUUCCUCACUGCAUAUGUGAGUGUCUCAAGAGCCAAAAUUGAUAUUAAGCUUUUCAACCAGUGUCUAACUAACAUUCUCCCACCAUGGCAAUCGAGCAUCUAGCUUGUAGUAUACAUGGGUCAACCAUUGUCCUUUCACUAUUCGAGAGAGGACAGUUGUCUACUAUGUAGAUGCUUCAUAUACACAGUUUAGCAUUCAAUGGUAUUGGGGAAGAGGUAGUUUGAGAGAUGUAUAGCGAAUCACCGCAUCCCAAAUUUUUUAAUCUCCUCACAUUCCCAUGUACAGUGAAAAGAAAAGAAAAAAAGCACCUUGAUGAUUAUUGCACUUAUAGCAUUGUUCAGGAAUAUUAGUUCAAUUGAUUUAACUUAAUGUAAUAGCGUGAUGUACAUUCUCAUUAUCCAAUUGUAUUGUAUUAAUCACAGUUGAGUAUUGAUGGUUUGUGUUUGUGCCUUUGAACACACUAUACCCCGUUCAUCCAAUGAGGAUGUCUUCUUGUAAGUCUGGAACUACAGUAAAUUUAAUGGGAAAUGAAUCUAGUAAGAAGAGUGAGGAAUGAGGAGGAGUGAGGAAUGAGGAGGAGUGAGGAAGUCCUGAGCCAGCAAAUGCUCCUGGGAGUUUAUGUGACAAGGGGUGAGGUUAACGGUCAUACAAACUCCAAUAAAUUCCUCUGAAUUAUUAGAAUUUGUGUGAUUUAUUUUAUAUUGGAUUGUCAUCAGAGUGUCCUUCAGUAGGCCUCAGACACCCACAGUCUCCAACCCUUAAACAUGUGCUCUCAGUUCUCUCAGUUUCUGCUUCGAAGCUCCAGAGGCUGAAUGAGUGCAGGCUGAAAUUACUGCUUUCAUUUCCAAUUUCCAUUUGCAUUAGGAGAAGAGAGAGUGCGAGAGAAAAAAACCCAAAAAGAGCUCUCCGUCUCUGAGCACUGUGUUCAGCUGGAGCUGAGGGUCUUGAGCUGUGAGAGCCCUCGAAGCCGCCAUCUGACUCUGAGACCUUUACAGAGCUGCGCUUUGUUAAUGCAUGCUAAUCCUAUGUCCUGUCUCAUGUGCAUGAGAAUGUGUUUCCUGGAAAUUACACUUGAUGGCUCUGUCUUGCACAAUUAAAACGAACCACUUUGAUAUGUAUUUGGCAUUUUGUCUGGGGAGUGUGUUUACACAUGUUUGCAUUGUUUUAUUGGUUGUUCACUAGACCUUACCUCUUCAACUGAUACGUUACUCAGGGUCAGAGUAGAUGUUUCUUGUACAACGAACAAUUCUUCUGUAAUCAAACUGCUAUUAACGUUAUCGCUUCUGCACUAAAGAUUGUCAGGAGCCAAAGGCUUUACCUUGAGUAAAUUAUGCGUUGCUUGCUUCAGGGCCAGAGUGAUAGUAUUUGUCUCUCUCUCUCUCUCUCUCUCUCUCUCUCUGACACACACUCUUAUCACCCGCUCACACACUCAAUCUCAAACACAAGCAGGUUGUAAAUCAGCUCUAAAGCAGCCCACUCUUAAAACCGGCUCGAGUUGCUUUUGUAUGCAAGAGCUUUUUUUAUCAGCCACUCAGACCACAAUAACAGACAAAAUGCGAUUUCCUCUUUUCACAUGAUAAAUGAGUCACUUAUUCACUGAUUAUAGAAUACACAAGCAUGAAGCGUUCAGCGUGGGAUUUCUCAACACUGCCUAAUCCACAUACUAAAGAGCCUUUUGGAUUGGUGCAGAGUGCACAGCACCUUUGCCAAAUCCAUUCCCCGAGCACUUGUGCUACAUCGCCGAAAUGUUCUGCUACAGCAUCCAAAACGUUGGCCAAACGCAGCAGUAAAGCUUGAGGUGGCAAAGCCAGACUUCUCCCUGUCAGAACAAUUAGUAUUGCAGCAGCUGGAAGAGCUUCAAUGCUUUAAGUCGUAUUAGGUGUUUCACACGCAAGCUGCCAGGGCCACUGCACAGCUCCAUGGCCAUUUAAGUCCUCCAACCAAGAGCCUUGACAUUGCCAGGCCCAAACAAGCCACACAAUCACGCCGUAAAUGGCCCGAGCAAUGUAGGAGGAAGCAUGGAGGGAUUUGACAGCAACUAUUUUUAUUCUUUAUUUUUAUUCCAGCCUGUGAGCUAGCAGUAAUUAUAUUAUUGUUGUUAUUGUUAUUGUUUAUUAUUAUUAUUAUUAUUAUUAUUAUUAUUAUUUGUACAUCCAUCAUGCGGAAUUGUACAGCAUGAUGUAAUUUUGAAACAUGGACGAUAUUGACACUAAUUGUGAGAGAGGGGAAAGAAAGAGAUCCCAUUCUGGGACUCACUAUGCUUACAUCGGCAGGCAAGAGAGAAAACACUGAGCCCUAUUUUGGCUGUAAUGAUUAUCCGCUAACAAUUCCUUCCUUCACUUGUGGUGAAAACACCCCUGAGCUUUCAUUGUUUUUGGCUCUGUUGCCUCGAGUAAUCCUCGCCUUGGCAUUCUGACGGAGAACUAGCUUAACACCAAUCGCAGCAAUUGUCUUGGUCUUUUGUGGCAGUGGCAGUAGCGUAGAACGAAGCUGUGUCGCACCAGUGCUACUGUACCGAUGAGCAAAUGUGAUGACCAUGGACAUGUUUAGCAGUGCGUACAAGCCAACCCAAACCAAAAGGCUCUCUGUUUUUGUACUGAAAACAUGAUGCCGUGCCUCUGGAAACAAG